Long non-coding RNA from Pseudopipra pipra, 909 nucleotides. RefSeq lists it as uncharacterized. The transcript is spliced from 2 exons. The record is from RefSeq and is a predicted model, not a curated record. Lineage: Eukaryota; Metazoa; Chordata; Aves; Passeriformes; Pipridae.
UGUAGAUGUGCAAAGGAUAUAUAACACCUCUCUGACAUUACAAGCCCUGGAGUCAGCUGUGAAAGUUGACUCAUGUAGCCUGAGAGGACAGAGCUUGUAGACAGAAAGCAGUAUAUUGACUGAAGAGGGACACAUGCCAACUGGAAGAAAUGGAAAGGGAGCACAAGGAAUAGGCUGGAGUUCUGAUCACCUUUAUCUGAGGGCUUAGGGUAGGGAUGUGAGACAGCAGCAAGAACCACACUGACCUGAUGACUUUCAAGCACUCCAGCUGAAGUCACAAGAAGGGGGAAGACACUGAGACUGCAGGAGGCACAGAUAAAGCCAAGUCACUGCCCUGUCUUUGCAUGAGUUGUGACACCACGGCCCUGGCACAGCACAGCACUGAACCAUGCACUUCAGUCCCAGAUGCUGGGCAAGAGGACUCCAGAACUUACUGCCCUGACACACUGAUCAGAUAUGCUGAUCCAGUGUGAAAGAAAGAGGCUGUCCUGGAACUGACAGCAUGGUCAUCACCCAGGUCAUAACUCGCCUUUGCAGUGAGAUGGUUCAUUAUGAGGUGGAGAGCUAUCUGCCUGGGCCAGAGGCUGCAGGGAGCAGCAGUGGAACUGGCCUGAAGAGGCAGAGAUCAUGCUCAGAUGUGUGCACACCCUCACUCACACCAAUACACACGCUUCUGCACAUGCCGUUCCAUGUGCACACGCACACUUCUGCCCAUGCUGUUCCCAUGUGCACAGACACACUUCUGCACAUGCUCUUUCCUGGCCUGGUGUGUGUCACAUCUGCAGGAAGCCAGUGCGUGUGCCAGAACAGCCAUGCUGCACACAGGAGACCUACUACAAGAAUUAUAUUUCUUCCCUGGUUCCAGUCACAGGCCAGAGAGCAGGUUUAUGAAAGGUUAAUGCCCCCUUA